GAAAAGGUAAGCUAAAAAAGCUAUUGGGUUCAUACCCCAAUUAUAGAAAAAUAUUCUCCUUUUUA
RNAcentral lists this transfer RNA (65 nucleotides) under Homoeoxipha nigripes. RNAcentral describes it as "tRNA-Met". Lineage: Eukaryota; Metazoa; Arthropoda; Insecta; Orthoptera; Trigonidiidae. The record is from RNAcentral.